Molecule: transfer RNA, 67 nt
Filed under: Dollfusiella sp. MZUSP 7992
Lineage: Eukaryota; Metazoa; Platyhelminthes; Cestoda; Trypanorhyncha; Eutetrarhynchidae
Description: tRNA-Trp
Source: RNAcentral
AUAAAGUUAAGUUAGAUUAGACUAAAUGUUUUCAAAACAUUCAGCAACGUUUUAUUGUUACUUUAUG